GGACUACCAGGGUUUCUAAUCCCUUUCGCUCCCCUAGCUGUCGUUCAUCAGUGUCAAAAAAUUCCUAGUUUUCUGCCUUCGCCCUUGGUGUUCCUGUCGAUAUCAACGGAUUUCACUCCUACACCGACAGUUCCGAAAACCCCGAAAUAUUUCAAGUCUAAUAGUAUUGCACCCCUUUCUAAGGUUGAGCCCUAGUCUUUGAAGUACAACUUAGUAGACCACCUACGAAACGCUUUACGCCCAAUAAAUCCGGAUAACGCUUGCACCCUCUGUAUUACCGCGGCUGCUGGCAC
RNAcentral lists this ribosomal RNA (293 nucleotides) under uncultured bacterium. RNAcentral describes it as "partial 16S ribosomal RNA". The record is from RNAcentral.